UGGUGACGAUAGCGAAGAGGUCACACCCGUUCCCAUUCCGAACACGGAAGUUAAGCUCUUCAGCGCCGAUGGUAGUUGGGGGUUUCCCCCUGUGAGAGUAGGACGUCGCCA
Molecule: ribosomal RNA, 111 nt
Filed under: Peribacillus asahii
Lineage: Bacteria; Bacillati; Bacillota; Bacilli; Caryophanales; Bacillaceae
Source: RNAcentral